GGAUGAGCCCGCGGCCUAUCAGCUUGUUGGUGGGGUAAUGGCCUACCAAGGCGUCGACGGGUAGCCGGCCUGAGAGGGUGGACGGCCACAUUGGGACUGAGAUACGGCCCAGACUCCUACGGGAGGCAGCAGUGGGGAAUAUUGCACAAUGGGCGCAAGCCUGAUGCAGCAACGCCGCGUGAGGGAUGACGGCCUUCGGGUUGUAAACCUCUUUUAGUAGGGAAGAAGCGAAAGUGACGGUACCUGCAGAAAAAGCACCGGCUAACUACGUGCCAGCAGCCGCGGUAAUACGUAGGGUGCAAGCGUUAUCCGGAAUCAUUGGGCGUAAAGAGCUCGUAGGCGGUUUGUCGCGUCUGCUGUGAAAACCCGAGGCUCAACCUCGGGCCUGCAGUGGGUACGGGCAGACUAGAGUGCGGUAGGGGAGAAUGGAAUUCCUGGUGUAGCGGUGGAAUGCGCAGAUAUCAGGAGGAACACCGAUGGCGAAGGCAGUUCUCUGGGCCGUAACUGACGCUGAGGAGCGAAAGCAUGGGGAGCGAACAGGAUUAGAUACCCUGGUAGUCCAUGCCGUAAACGUUGGGCGCUAGAUGUGGGGACCAUUCCACGGUUUCCGUGUCGCAGCUAACGCAUUAAGCGCCCCGCCUGGGGAGUACGGCCGCAAGGCUAAAACUCAAAGGAAUUGACGGGGGCCCGCACAAGCGGCGGAGCAUGUGGAUUAAUUCGAUGCAACGCGAAGAACCUUACCU
Molecule: ribosomal RNA, 743 nt
Filed under: uncultured actinomycete
Lineage: Bacteria; Bacillati; Actinomycetota; Actinomycetes; Actinomycetales
Description: bacterial SSU rRNA
Rfam family: Bacterial small subunit ribosomal RNA
Source: RNAcentral